AAUAAAGGAAGAACCAUUCUCAGAUGCCAAGCUGAUAUUCAGACAAACAUACUUACAAUUAAUAAUUUUGAAACUAAAAGCUGAUAAUCUUACAAAGCGUAAAAAGGCAUGGCAUAUAGGUUCUUAUGUUAGUGCUAUAUGGAUGUGUAAUAUAUUAAACACGCGAAUUUUGAUUCCACCUUGAAUAUUGGAUAGUAUAGAAAGUUAUCACCAGUG
RNAcentral lists this long non-coding RNA (216 nucleotides) under Brassica rapa (field mustard). RNAcentral's name for it is "long non-coding RNA (BRAP_LNC007209)". Lineage: Eukaryota; Viridiplantae; Streptophyta; Magnoliopsida; Brassicales; Brassicaceae. The record is from RNAcentral.